Molecule: long non-coding RNA, 607 nt
Filed under: Nicotiana benthamiana
Lineage: Eukaryota; Viridiplantae; Streptophyta; Magnoliopsida; Solanales; Solanaceae
Description: long non-coding RNA (NBEN_LNC013875)
Source: RNAcentral
AGGUCAUGUGAUCAGUGGCACCAGAGUCUAUAAUUGAAAUGCAGUCACUUAUUUUAGUUAGCAUGCAAGCCCCAUAGGAUACAUUCUUUAAAUGAUUGGUUGGAGAAAAAUUACCGGCAAAGUUGGCUGAUGCCAUAAGACAGGACUGCUGCUGAGAUUCUGAAAUUUGUGUCUGUUGGAGCAGUAACAUAUGUAAUUAGUAUUGAUCUUUGGUUAAACCAGGUAUUAGAGACUCUGAUUCAGAGACCCCCUGAACAUUGUCAGCACUGUUCUGAGUUCCAGCAGGGUUUGGACACCCCUGCACUUCAACAUGUGCUACACUCCUCCUUCCUUUUGUGAAUUUGAAGUCUGAUGGAAAUCCUUUUGUGAAUUUGAAGUCUGAUGGAAAUCCAUGAAGUUUGUAACACUUGUCAAUCAGGUGUCCAGGUUUCUUACAAUACCUACACACUAAGUUUGUCUUGUUGAGAUCAAAGUUGAGUCUUUGACUGAAUUACUUAGGAUAUCCAGCUGUGGGAGGAAAUUUUGUGAUAGGGGAUUUCCUGCUGAAGUGAAUAUUGAAAGCACUCGAAUCAUGACAAAAUUGGGAUGGUGAGGAAACUUGUCUUUG